RNAcentral lists this long non-coding RNA (416 nucleotides) under Mus musculus (house mouse). RNAcentral describes it as "predicted gene 3428". Lineage: Eukaryota; Metazoa; Chordata; Mammalia; Rodentia; Muridae. The record is from RNAcentral.
AUUCUGACCCACCCUACUUACUUGAUGCCAGUUGCUCUACUGUGUCUUCUGCCAGCCCAGACUGAGAUGGGCAAACUCCUGCUCCUCCUGCUGCUGGGGGCUUUUGUCCUUGUGUUGAUCCAAGGCAUUUGUGAGUUGCCUGACCUGAGUGCUGAGACUCAAACUCGAGUUCUCUGCAGGAGCAGUACCUGCUGUUCAAGUAAUAAUAUGAAUGUCCUGCAACAUGUUUGUGAAUGGCAAAUGUAUAGAAGGUGAGGGUAAAUGCACCAUGGAGGAAGGUGGUGCAUGCAGAACUGGAGAUAUCUAUCAUUUCAAUCCAAGAGGUGGGUUUCUCUACAACCAUACUAUACUGGAAUGUUCUAAAUCAUGAAAGGCUUCAGAAGAGAGUUAUUUUCAUCUGAAAAUUUCAACCUUUU